CCUACGGGUGGCUGCAGUGGGGAAUUUUGGACAAUGGGGGCAACCCUGAUCCAGCCAUGCCGCGUGCGGGAAGAAGGCCUUCGGGUUGUAAACCGCUUUUGUCAGGGAAGAAAUCUUCCGAGCUAAUACCUUGGGAGGAUGACGGUACCUGAAGAAUAAGCACCGGCUAACUACGUGCCAGCAGCCGCGGUAAUACGUAGGGUGCAAGCGGGAAGCGGAAUGACUGGGCGCGAAUGGGGCGCAGGGGUGUGCAAUCCCCGGGCUUAACCUGUGAACUGCACUUGUGACUGUACGGCUGGAGUACGGCAGAGGGGGAUGGAAUUCCGCGUGUAGCAGUGAAAUGCGUAGAUAUGCGGAGGAACACCGAUGGCGAAGGCAGUCCCCUGGGCCUGUACUGACGCUCAUGCACGAAAGCGUGGGGAGCAAACAGGAUUAGAUACCCCUGUAGUC
Molecule: ribosomal RNA, 450 nt
Filed under: uncultured bacterium
Lineage: Bacteria
Description: partial 16S ribosomal RNA
Rfam family: Bacterial small subunit ribosomal RNA
Source: RNAcentral